AAUAGAAUUCCUAAAGAAUAAAAAAAAUCUAAAUUUCCUAAUUUUAUAAUGAAUAGAAUUCCUGAGUGGAGUCUUCUUCCAAUACUGCAUCAGCUACUCAUCAUCAUCAUCUUUUUUUUGUUGUUUCUGUUGUUUAGGUUACGAGUAUAACUUCUUUAUUUUAAUUCCCUUUUGCUUUCUUAAUUAAUUUUCUUUUAGGCCUAUUGAAUAAAAUAAAUCCAAAAUUUUUAGGCUUUUCACGA
Molecule: unclassified non-coding RNA, 242 nt
Filed under: Hevea brasiliensis (rubber tree)
Lineage: Eukaryota; Viridiplantae; Streptophyta; Magnoliopsida; Malpighiales; Euphorbiaceae
Source: RNAcentral